AUUGAACGCUGGCGGCAGGCCUAACACAUGCAAGUCGAACGAGUGGCGGACGGGUGAGUAAUGUCUGGGAAACUGCCCGAUGGAGGGGGAUAACUACUGGAAACGGUAGCUAAUACCGCAUACCAUCGGAUGUGCCCAGAUGGGAUUAGCUUGUAGGUGAGGUAACGGCUCACCUAGGCGACGAUCCCUAGCUGGUCUGAGAGGAUGACCAGCCAAACUGGAACUGAGACACGGUCCAGACACCUACGUGAGGCAGCAGGGGGGAAUAGUGCACAAGGGGCGCAAGCCUGAUGCAGCCAGGCGGCGUGGAUGAAGAAGGCCUUCGGGUUGUAAAGGACUUGCAGCGGGGAGGCGUUACCCGCAGAAGAAGCACAGGCUAACUCCGUGCCAGAAGCAGCGGUAAUAC
RNAcentral lists this ribosomal RNA (406 nucleotides) under uncultured bacterium. RNAcentral describes it as "partial 16S ribosomal RNA". It matches the Rfam family "Bacterial small subunit ribosomal RNA", at positions 29 to 526 of the family's 1533-position model. The record is from RNAcentral.